This 242-nucleotide unclassified non-coding RNA is filed under the name uncultured fungus. RNAcentral's name for it is "sequence contains ITS2". Lineage: Eukaryota; Fungi. The record is from RNAcentral.
AACGCACAUUGCGCCCGCCAGCAUUCUGGCGGGCAUGCCUGUUCGAGCGUCAUUUCAACCCUCAGGCCCUGCCUGGUGUUGGAGGACUGCGCACGCAGCCUCCCAAAGCAAGCGGCGGCGGCGCCCCAAAACCGAACGCAGUAGUUACUUCUCGUUCUGGGUCUGGGUCGUUGUCCUGCCGGAAAACCCCCAUCUUUUUAAUGGUUGACCUCGAAUCAGGUAGGAAUACCCGCUGAACUUAA